Molecule: long non-coding RNA, 894 nt
Organism: Juglans microcarpa x Juglans regia
Lineage: Eukaryota; Viridiplantae; Streptophyta; Magnoliopsida; Fagales; Juglandaceae
Exons: 2
Source: RefSeq, a predicted model, not a curated record
UUUGGAGGGAAUUGGGAGAUCUAAUUGUCGAUUAAUGCUUUAAUAGAACGAUCAUUCUUAACAAUGUAGUGGGCUCCCUAAAAGAUAAUGGGCUUGGUUUUGCAAAAUCCGAAGGCUUGACUUUGGAUUCUAGGAAGUGUUCAUUUUUUAUAUUGGUAGCCCAAAGUUUAUUGCUACCUACAUUGAGCUGCCAACUAAGUUUUGAUAGGAGAGAGAUUCAAGUUUUGCAUCUUUUGAAUACCUAGACCGUCCAUUGGUUUUGAAUAAUAGAUAAGAGUCCCAACUUUUUAAGAAAGGGUUCUUUUCAUGGUCUAAUUUGUAACCCCACCAGAAUCUCAUGAGAAUAAUAUCUAAAUCAUUGCAAAAGCUAUUUGAGUGAAGAAAAGAGGACAUACAGUAGAAAGGAAUGGUUGAGGCUACUGAGAUGCAUUGUGUUAAGGAGGGACAAGGCUGUCUGGGGGAGCGUUGUUGCUGAUGAAGACAAUGGAUUUGCUAUUGUUGAUGCUUUGACCUGACUAUGACAUGUAAAUGAAAAGAGUGGAUUGGAUAGUGUUUGCUUCUUGCAGGUUGCUUUCACAAAGAGGAUGAGAUUAUCAACAAAGAGGAGGUGACUGAUAGAAGGGCAUGAUGGUGUUAUUUUGAUUCCAUGGAGAAGGUUUGAAGUUCCUACUUUGGUGAGUAAACGGGAUAAAACUUAUGUUCCUAUGAUAAAUAUGAAGGGGGAUAGAGGAUUUCUUUGUAGAAUGCCUCAAGAGGGAGAGAAAAAAACAAAGGAAGAGCCAUUGAGGCGGAUGGAAUAUUUGGGGAUGGCGAUGCAUUUUUUAACCAAUUGGGUCCAUUUAUGGCUGAAACCAAGGCAUUCUUGGGCAUAAAGAAUAAAAUCUCAUUUCAUUC